Molecule: ribosomal RNA, 183 nt
Filed under: uncultured bacterium
Lineage: Bacteria
Description: partial 16S ribosomal RNA
Rfam family: Bacterial small subunit ribosomal RNA
Source: RNAcentral
GCGUGAAGUCGGAAUCGCUAGUAAUCGCGGAUCAGCAUGCCGCGGUGAAUACGUUCCCGGGCCUUGUACACACCGCCCGUCACACCAUGAGAGUCGGGAACACCCGAAGCCCGUAGCCUAACAGCAAUGAGGGCGCGGUCGAAGGUGGGUUCGAUAAUUGGGGUGAAGUCGUAACAAGGUACC